This 346-nucleotide ribosomal RNA is filed under the name uncultured bacterium. RNAcentral describes it as "partial 16S ribosomal RNA". It matches the Rfam family "Bacterial small subunit ribosomal RNA", at positions 338 to 681 of the family's 1533-position model. The record is from RNAcentral.
CCUACGGGCGGCAGCAGUGAGGAAUAUUGGUCAAUGGCCGGAAGGCUGAACCAGCCAAGUAGCGUGAGGGAAGACUGCCCUAUGGGUUGUAAACCUCUUUUAUGCGGGGAGAAAGGGGUCCACGUGUGGAUGUUUGCAGGUACCGCAUGAAUAAGGACCGGCUAAUUCCGUGCCAGCAGCCGCGGUAAUACGGAAGGUCCGGGCGUUAUCCGGAUUUAUUGGGGUUAAAGGGAGCGUAGGCCGGUCUUUAAGCGUGCCGUGAAAUUUUGGGGCGCAACCAUGCGAGUGCGGCGCGAACUGGAGCCCUUGAGUGCGCGGCAGGCCGGCGGCAUUCGUGGUGUAGCGG